This 481-nucleotide ribosomal RNA is filed under the name uncultured bacterium. RNAcentral describes it as "partial 16S ribosomal RNA". It matches the Rfam family "Bacterial small subunit ribosomal RNA", at positions 28 to 507 of the family's 1533-position model. The record is from RNAcentral.
GAUGAACGCUGGCGGCGUGCUUAACACAUGCAAGUCGAACGAAGCAUUUGCGACAGUUUUUUUCGGAAUGAAGUUGCUUAUGACUGAGUGGCGGACGGGUGAGUAACGCGUGGGUAACCUGCCUUGUACUGGGGGAUAGCAGCUGGAAACGGCUGGUAAUACCGCAUAGGCGCACAAUGUUGCAUGACAUGGUGUGAAAAACUCCGGUGGUAUAAGAUGGACCCGCGUCUGAUUAGCUAGUUGGUGAGAUAACAGCCCACCAAGGCGACGAUCAGUAGCCGACCUGAGAGGGUGACCGGCCACAUUGGGACUGAGACACGGCCCAGACUCCUACGGGAGGCAGCAGUGGGGAAUAUUGCACAAUGGAGGAAACUCUGAUGCAGCGACGCCGCGUGAGUGAAGAAGUAAUUCGUUAUGUAAAGCUCUAUCAGCAGGGAAGAUAGUGACGGUACCUGACUAAGAAGCUCCGGCUAAAUACGUG